Molecule: long non-coding RNA, 503 nt
Filed under: Papio anubis (olive baboon)
Lineage: Eukaryota; Metazoa; Chordata; Mammalia; Primates; Cercopithecidae
Description: lncRNA (ENSPANG00000050379.1)
Source: RNAcentral
UAGGAAAGCUCAGUAAAUAAAAGCUAUAGCUUUAGUACUUGAUUUCUAGGUGGGCUUGUGACUGUCCAGGAGUAAAAAGAGUUUAUUCUUCUUUAAGGGGAUGACUUGAUGUUGGAAAAGAGGAGGAGUCAAAGGAACCACUUUCAGCUGGGGAGCCAAACCCGUCUCGUUGAGGGAGCCUAGAGCAAGUUGUUUUAAUUUUACCCAGCAUUUGUGGAGCUUCUGAGUCGCUGAAGAGAAAGCCCUGGUUGCACAGCCAUAUACAUCUGUAAUAGAAGAUCUAAUAAUGUUCUUCCCCUGGCGGCUUUCAAUUUCUUCUUUCAAGGUAUUAAUAAUUGUUAUUGUUUAUUAACACUUAAUAUGUGCCAGACUCUAGAUGUGGCACUUUCCCUACACUGCUUUAUAUAAACCUCAUGAAAAAAUGAUAAAGUAGAAAUUAUUAAUUUAAGAAUACAAAAAAAAUGAUUCUUGGAGAGGUUCCUUUGCCCAAGUUAACAUAGCUG